UAACGCGAAGAACCUUACCUGGGUUUGACAUGCACGUGAAACCCCUGUGAAAGCAGGGGCCUCCUUCGGGACACGCGCACAGGUGCUGCGUGGCUGUCGUCAGCUCGUGUCGUGAGAUGUUGGGUUAAGUCCCGCAACGAGCGCAACCCUUGCCCCGUGUUACUAACAGGUCAAGCUGAGGACUCUCGGGGGACUGCCGGCGUCAAACCGGAGGAAGGUGGGGACGACGUCAAGUCAUCAUGGCCCUUACGCCCAGGGCUACACACGUGCUACAAUGGCCAGGACAGAGGGCUGCGAGACCGCAAGGUGGAGCGAAUCCCAGAAACCUGGCCCAAGUUCGGAUUGCGGGCUGCAACUCGCCCGCAUGAAGCCGGAAUCGCUAGUAAUCGC
RNAcentral lists this ribosomal RNA (390 nucleotides) under uncultured bacterium. RNAcentral describes it as "bacterial SSU rRNA". It matches the Rfam family "Bacterial small subunit ribosomal RNA", at positions 957 to 1345 of the family's 1533-position model. The record is from RNAcentral.